GGGUCGUUAGCUCAGUCGGUAGAGCAUCGGACUUUUAAUCCGCUGGUCGACGGUUCGAAUCCGUCACGACCCACCA
Molecule: transfer RNA, 76 nt
Filed under: Lysobacter sp.
Lineage: Bacteria; Pseudomonadati; Pseudomonadota; Gammaproteobacteria; Lysobacterales; Lysobacteraceae
Also listed under: 7 other names
Description: tRNA-Lys
Rfam family: tRNA
About the family: Transfer RNA (tRNA) molecules are approximately 80 nucleotides in length. Their secondary structure includes four short double-helical elements and three loops (D, anti-codon, and T loops).
Source: RNAcentral